GUUCUAAUACGAAUAAAUCAAAUGGUAAAGUUAUUACGAUUAAACAGAUUUGGAUUCCAAAAGGAACCAUAUGCACUAACCCUCAAGGACCCAAGCAAGCUUGGGUACCCAAAAUGAAAAUAUGAGGGUGUAGAUGUAGGUGUGCCAAGCUACCCAUGAAACAAAUGAAAUUGUCAUACAAAUGGGUGCGUUGACACAUAAUUAAAGAUAAGUCUCAAUUUAUUUAUUAAAUUUAGUAUAAGGUUUAACAUUCUACUUCAUGUAUUGAAAUUAUCUUUUUAUGAAAUUACGAUACUCUCUGCAUCAAAGUUUUUAAAUGCCUCAUAUGUUAAAUCUUAUCUCAACGAUUUUAGCAUGAAACUUUCUAGUGCUUGCAUCAUGAUAAGAAAACAAUGAAUGGAUAUAUAUAUAACCUUCUUCUUCAAGUUUACAAAAUCUAAAUUCCCUCUCUAGUAUGAACACUUGAUGCUGAUUUCAUACUUUCAUGUUAAAACUUUAUUGAGCAUAAUACUUAUGAAAUCUUAUUUCAUUAUUUGUGAAGGUAUGAGUAUAAUUUAUCAUUAU
This 564-nucleotide long non-coding RNA is filed under the name Phoenix dactylifera (date palm). Its description in RNAcentral is "long non-coding RNA (PDAC_LNC021631)". Lineage: Eukaryota; Viridiplantae; Streptophyta; Magnoliopsida; Arecales; Arecaceae. The record is from RNAcentral.